This is a long non-coding RNA of Humulus lupulus (European hop), 752 nucleotides long. RefSeq lists it as uncharacterized. The record is from RefSeq and is a predicted model, not a curated record. Lineage: Eukaryota; Viridiplantae; Streptophyta; Magnoliopsida; Rosales; Cannabaceae. The transcript is spliced from 2 exons.
GUUGAGACAAUUAAUUUGUGCGUGGAGAAUGUACUCAGAGACAGAGAGAUGGAGGAGAAGGAGCUCAAAGCUCCAUUAAAGUUCAUUGACUGCUUAAGAGAAAAAUGAGAGAAUUGAGAACAACUUUUGAAAACAGAAAUAAGGCCCUUCAUUUUCUUGUUCUUCAAACUUCAUCAAAAAACCUAAGAACACGCCGAUUGGAGAAAAGCAAGAUAUUAUCACUGAAAUCCACUACUUGAGUCUCAUGGGUUACACAGCAGAUGGGCAGGGGCUGGGUGUUUGGAGACGGCGUGGGGGCUGUGUGCUUAGGGACGACGUUGGUGGGUUCAAAGCCAAUGUUGCUAGGUCGACGGAGCGACUGGAUAGAUCUAAGGACAACGACUGAUGGGAACGGAGGCUGUGUACUCAGGGACGAAAGGUAUGGGUUCAAAGUCGGUAGAUAUGAGGUUAGGAUCAACACUGAAGCUCCACUCUUCUUAGCCAACUUGCGGGAUGCAGAUCUGGUCUGAUCCGUCAACAAGAGAGCAAAGCGAAGGGAAAAGAUUUGACCAGCACCGUCGUCCUCGUGUGUCGCCCCCAACCGCCAUCUGCAAACUCCGGUGAGUUGAUGAUGUUUACUUUCGUGAAGCUCUAAUAAUUUUUCUGGGUAUAUUCUUUGGUUCUAUGUUUGUAUGUAUAUAAAUAUGUAUGUGUGUGUAUGCUUGUUAGACAUUUUUGAAAUUUUUUGGAUUGAUGGUUUUACAGGUUGUUGA